UAAUACGAAGGGGGCUAGCGUUGUUCGGAAUUACUGGGCGUAAAGCGCACGUAGGCGGGUUGUUAAGUCAGGGGUGAAAUCCCGGAGCUCAACUCCGGAACUGCCUUUGAUACUGGCAAUCUAGAGACUGGAAGAGGUUAGUGGAAUUCCCAGUGUAGAGGUGAAAUUCGUAGAUAUUGGGAAGAACACCAGUGGCGAAGGCGGCUAACUGGUCCAGUACUGACGCUGAGGUGCGAAAGCGUGGGGAGCAAACAGG
Molecule: ribosomal RNA, 256 nt
Filed under: uncultured bacterium
Lineage: Bacteria
Description: partial 16S ribosomal RNA
Rfam family: Bacterial small subunit ribosomal RNA
Source: RNAcentral